CUCAUAUGUUCCUUGAUGUUUUGAUCUCAUGGUACGACCUAUGAGAUAAACAAGAAUCAUGGCUAGUAAGGGUGGUGGUUUAGGUCAAGACAUUAUAUUAGAUGAUGAUGGUCAAUCAAGUGGUGAUGGUGGCUAGUAAAUGUUAAUGGUUGUGGUGUUAGUCGUAGUGAUAUUCUGAACUAUAUGUUGUUGUUGAUGUG
RNAcentral lists this long non-coding RNA (200 nucleotides) under Aquilegia coerulea. RNAcentral's name for it is "long non-coding RNA (ACOE_LNC000131)". The record is from RNAcentral. Lineage: Eukaryota; Viridiplantae; Streptophyta; Magnoliopsida; Ranunculales; Ranunculaceae.